UUUUUUUUUCUUUGUUGAAAAAAUUACUAUAGGUUGAAGUUCCAUUUUUUGGAUCUUUCAGGAAAUACAGUACCAUUUUUUUUAGUUAUGGGUUCAACUUUUAGAGUUUGAAUCUUUAGGAUUUCUUGUUGCUACUGUAGAUUGCGCCCCUGGAAUCUGAAUGACCGGGAUGGAUUUCAUACGGAAUCUGGGACGAAAUCUGCAAGUGGAGAGGAAGAGAUUUCAACAACAUAAUUUUCUCCAACUUCACAGAAAUGUACAUGCAUUUCUUAGAAAUGUUAGUUCAUACAUUUUAACAAAAAUGCGUGUACAACUAAAAAAGGUGUUCACGUAUAUGUAAAAAAAUGCCCAUGUAGAACUAAAAAUGUUCAUUUAAUUAAAAUGUGUUCAUCUAUUUUGAAUAAAAUACAUGUACUUUAAAGAAAUAUUCACAUGUUUUAUGAAGUGCUCAUAUACUUUCAAAACAUGUUAAUGAAAGUAUUCGUCCAUUAGAGAAACUGUUAAUGUAAUUAAAAAGUUUUUCACCCAUUUGAAAAGUAUUCAUGUAAUUUUAAAAUAGUGUGAUAUUCAUGUAUUUUUAAAAUUCCAUAUUUUCUAUAUCUUAGUGUAUUUUCAAAAUAAAAAAUGAAACUUAAAAUAUAACAGAAAAAGGACAACCAAACACGAAAAUGAAAAGGAAUGAAACACAAAACAAAAAAGAAACAAAAAAAUAGGAAAAAAGAAGAAGAGGUAAAACCAGACACAAACCGACAAAAGAAAGUAGGAAAAAGCAACUGAAACCGGUCCGCUCCACAGAAGUUUGCCAUAGCUGGUAUGAAUCACUCUUCUCAUUUGAGUAGGGUUUUUGGAAACCUUUGGUUACUUAAAAUUGCAGUAUCACAGAUCUACAAUUUCAAUAUUGCAGAUGCGAAGGCUGCAAGUCACACGGGCAUACGAAACCUGAAAAGGCCAAUGAAGCUUUCUUGGUUGAUAUAGCCAGGGGAGGCGUUUUGGCUCCGGGUGCAUUUGCACCAGGGUGAACAGUAAAAUAAAAAAAAUAAAAAAAUUUAAAAAUUCUAAAUUUUUUAAUAGAUGAUCGUGUUAGUGUAGCAAGGAUGAUUGACAAUUUUCAUGCGAAGCGGGGCAGCAGUGUUUUGUCAGUGAAAAAACAAAUUUAAUUGUGACAUUUUGGGGUAUCACUUGAUGUUCUGUUUUUUUUUUUGCAUGGGCCAAAUGCUUUACAUUUUUGCCUAAAAAUUUUCAGGUAGCAUUUGAAUGUGACAAAGAACACGUAAAUUUUUUGACAUUUCAAAAUUCAUUUUUCAGAGUCAGGUGCACGUGCUCCCGGGAGCCGAAUUGCAUUUCCUCAUAUAGGUGAUAAAAUGCAUCUGUUGCUGAAGCAGGCUCAGAAAGAAAAACAGCUCUAGGAAAUGAUAUACCAAUAGAUUUUCUUACUGGCAUCAUGCAAUGCUAAAACUCGAGAAGCAGCUAAAUAAAUGUAGCAGCAACAGAACGUGCUAAUGAGGCGGGCGAAGGUUCUAUCUUCCCGGUACAGCCUAAGAUUAUUUCACUUCACCUUUGAACCACUUUCCAGUACAGACGAAGUCACCACCAACGAAUUUCGACAGAACUAAGUUGGAACCGAUUUCACCGAGCAUCUUAACCAUCUUCUGCUACCGCCUAGCUAAACUGGUGGUCCACUGACAUCCCAGCGUUUUUACCCCUGGUGUGGGGUGGGUUUAUAUACACAAUCUGGGCUAUGAAACAACAGGAACCAGGAUUCAUCGUUUUACAAGGCGGACGUGAG
RNAcentral lists this long non-coding RNA (1786 nucleotides) under Triticum aestivum (bread wheat). RNAcentral's name for it is "long non-coding RNA (TAES_LNC009797)". The record is from RNAcentral. Lineage: Eukaryota; Viridiplantae; Streptophyta; Magnoliopsida; Poales; Poaceae.